GGGAGCGUUCUGUAAGCCUGUGAAGGUGUACUGUGAGGUAUGCUGGAGGUAUCAGAAGUGCGAAUGCUGACAUAAGUAACGAUAAAGCGGGUGAAAAGCCCGCUCGCCGGAAGACCAAGGGUUCCUGUCCAACGUUAAUCGGGGCAGGGUGAGUCGACCCCUAAGGCGAGGCCGAAAGGCGUAGUCGAUGGGAAACAGGUUAAUAUUCCUGUACUUGGUGUUACUGCGAAGGGGGGACGGAGAAGGCUAUGUUGGCCGGGCGACGGUUGUCCCGGUUUAAGCGUGUAGGCUGGUUUUCCAGGCAAAUCCGGAAAAUCAAGGCUGAGGCGUGAUGACGAGGCACUACGGUGCUGAAGCAACAAAUGCCCUGCUUCCAGGAAAAGCCUCUAAGCAUCAGGUAACAUCAAAUCGUACCCCAAACCGACACAGGUGGUCAGGUAGAGAAUACCAAGGCGCUUGAGAGAACUCGGGUGAAGGAACUAGGCAAAAUGGUGCCGUAACUUCGGGAGAA
This 511-nucleotide ribosomal RNA is filed under the name Escherichia coli. Its description in RNAcentral is "partial 23S ribosomal RNA". It matches the Rfam family "Bacterial large subunit ribosomal RNA", at positions 1232 to 1744 of the family's 2925-position model. Lineage: Bacteria; Pseudomonadati; Pseudomonadota; Gammaproteobacteria; Enterobacterales; Enterobacteriaceae. The record is from RNAcentral.